RNAcentral lists this ribosomal RNA (166 nucleotides) under uncultured bacterium. Its description in RNAcentral is "partial 16S rRNA". It matches the Rfam family "Bacterial small subunit ribosomal RNA", at positions 355 to 511 of the family's 1533-position model. The record is from RNAcentral.
UAGGGAAUCUUCCACAAUGGACGCAAGUCUGAUGGAGCAACGCCGCGUGAGUGAAGAAGGUCUUCGGAUCGUAAAACUCUGUUGUUAGAGAAGAACACGAGUGAGAGUAACUAGUUCAUUCGAUGACGGUAUCUAACCAGACAAGUCACGGCUAACUACGUGCCAA